UACAGAGGGUGCAAGCGUUAAUCGGAAUUACUGGGCGUAAAGCGUGCGUAGUCGGUUAUCUAAGUCGGGUGUGAAAUCCCCGGGCUCAACCUGGGAAUUGCAUUCGAUACUGGAUAGCUAGAGUUCGGCAGAGGGAAGCGGAAUUUCGGGUGUAGCGGUGAAAUGCGUAGAUAUCCGAAGGAACAUCAGUGGCGAAAGCGGCUUCCUGGACCAGAACUGACGUUCAGGCACGAAAGCGUGGGGAGCAAACAGG
This 253-nucleotide ribosomal RNA is filed under the name uncultured bacterium. RNAcentral describes it as "partial 16S ribosomal RNA". It matches the Rfam family "Bacterial small subunit ribosomal RNA", at positions 524 to 776 of the family's 1533-position model. The record is from RNAcentral.